AUUGAACGCUGGCGGCAGGCCUAACACAUGCAAGUCGAGCGGAUGAAGGGAGCUUGCUCCUGGAUUCAGCGGCGGACGGGUGAGUAAUGCCUAGGAAUCUGCCUGGUAGUGGGGGAUAACGUCCGGAAACGGGCGCUAAUACCGCAUACGUCCUGAGGGAGAAAGUGGGGGAUCUUCGGACCUCACGCUAUCAGAUGAGCCUAGGUCGGAUUAGCUAGUUGGUGGGGUAAAGGCCUACCAAGGCGACGAUCCGUAACUGGUCUGAGAGGAUGAUCAGUCACAGUGGAACUGAGACACGGUCCAGCCCCCUGCGGGGGGCAGGAGGGGGGAAUGUUGGACAGGGGGCGAAGGCGUAACCCGGCCGUGCGGGGGGGGUGAGGAGGGUUUUGGGAUUGUAAAGCAUUUAAAGUGGGGAGAAGGGGAAGAAGGUUAAUCCUUGGUUUUUUUGACUUUCCCAAAAGAAAAAGCCCGGGCUAACUCCGUG
RNAcentral lists this ribosomal RNA (484 nucleotides) under uncultured bacterium. Its description in RNAcentral is "partial 16S ribosomal RNA". It matches the Rfam family "Bacterial small subunit ribosomal RNA", at positions 29 to 507 of the family's 1533-position model. The record is from RNAcentral.